This 465-nucleotide ribosomal RNA is filed under the name Vreelandella stevensii. Its description in RNAcentral is "partial 16S ribosomal RNA". It matches the Rfam family "Bacterial small subunit ribosomal RNA", at positions 338 to 795 of the family's 1533-position model. Lineage: Bacteria; Pseudomonadati; Pseudomonadota; Gammaproteobacteria; Oceanospirillales; Halomonadaceae. The record is from RNAcentral.
CCUACGGGGGGCUGCAGUGGGGAAUAUUGGACAAUGGGGGCAACCCUGAUCCAGCCAUGCCGCGUGUGUGAAGAAGGCCCUCGGGUUGUAAAGCACUUUCAGUGAGGAAGAACGCCGGGUGGUAAAUACCCAUCGGGAAAGACAUCACUCACAGAAGAAGCACCGGCUAACUCCGUGCCAGCAGCCGCGGUAAUACGGAGGGUGCGAGCGUUAAUCGGAAUUACUGGGCGUAAAGCGCGCGUAGGUGGCUUGAUAAGCCGGUUGUGAAAGCCCCGGGCUCAACCUGGGAACGGCAUCCGGAACUGUCAAGCUAGAGUGCAGGAGAGGAAGGUAGAAUUCCCGGUGUAGCGGUGAAAUGCGUAGAGAUCGGGAGGAAUACCAGUGGCGAAGGCGGCCUUCUGGACUGACACUGACACUGAGGUGCGAAAGCGUGGGUAGCAAACAGGAUUAGAUACCCGAGUAGUC